Molecule: ribosomal RNA, 333 nt
Filed under: uncultured eukaryote
Lineage: Eukaryota
Description: partial 18S ribosomal RNA
Rfam family: Eukaryotic small subunit ribosomal RNA
Source: RNAcentral
CCCUUAGAUGUCCGGGGCCGCACGCGCGCUACACUGAAGGAAUCAGCGUGGCUUUCUCCCUGACCCGAAAGGGUUGGGAAACCCGUUGAAUCUCCUUCGUGAUAGGGAUUGGGGCUUGAAAUUGUUCCCCAUGAACGAGGAAUUCCCAGUAAGCGCGAGUCAUAAGCUCGCGUUGAUUACGUCCCUGCCCUUUGUACACACCGCCCGUCGCUACUACCGAUUGAACGGUUUAGUGAGGGCCUCGGAUUGGUCUCGGCCCGCUCUUUACCGGGCGGCGCCGUUGGUCGAGAAGACGCUCGAACUUGAUCGUUUAGAGGAAGUAAAAGUCGUACA